Molecule: non-coding RNA, 70 nt
Organism: Bos taurus (domestic cattle)
Lineage: Eukaryota; Metazoa; Chordata; Mammalia; Artiodactyla; Bovidae
Source: Rfam
UCCCUGGUGGCUCAGACGGUAGAGUCUGCCUGCGAUGCAGGAGACCCAGGUUCGAUCCCUGGGUUGGGAA